RNAcentral lists this ribosomal RNA (206 nucleotides) under uncultured bacterium. RNAcentral describes it as "partial 16S ribosomal RNA". It matches the Rfam family "Bacterial small subunit ribosomal RNA", at positions 568 to 773 of the family's 1533-position model. The record is from RNAcentral.
UGCGUAGGCGGUGCGGAAAGUUGGGUGUGAAAGCCCUCGGCUCAACCGAGGAAUUGCGCCCAAAACUGCCGCACUAGAGGAAGACAGAGGUACGCGGAACUUAGGGUGGAGCGGUGAAAUGCGUUGAUAUCCUAAGGAACACCGGUGGCGAAAGCGGCGUACUGGGUCUUAUCUGACGCUGAGGCACGAAAGCUAGGGGAGCAACG